CGUAGUAAUACUAACGUAAUGCGGUCACAGGCGUGCAUACUGCCUUCAACGCGGCCCAAAUAAAACAAGCUAUGCGUUUUAUAAUACUUUUUAUAAACACAUUUUCAUAUAAAAACAUUUUUUAAGUGACGUGUCAACUGGCUUUAGACGCUAAAAGGGCUUGACCCCUAUUUGAUGCUGACUUCACAUCCGCUUUUCCUCAUUCAAAGAAUCAAGCAGCCACAAGAGCAUUUUUCUUAACCAGCUGAGAUUUGGCCCGUAUGGAGGGUGAGAGCGUUGGUUCUGCUGUUAGUUGAUGACACCUCCUGUCCAGGCGGUUGGGUUGCCAGUAUACUUGGCUCAUCAUGAAAGCCAAGACGCAGAUACAGCUGUGCUGUCAUUUAAGGGACAUUAAGACUGUUUAUUCACGUACAAUGUACAUUUGUCUGUAUGUAUGUUAGGUUUAAUGUGAGUUAUGGAGGUAGUUUUGAAACAGUACUGCGCCUUAUUGUGCAUACGUGGAAAACUAAAGUGGAAAAACAAAGUCUGGGUAUUAUACCAUACUAAUAUUUUUACAGUAAGUGCACUUUUGUUUUAAAAUGCAUUUAUUUAUUUAAAAAUAAUUUAAUCAUAAAAUGCAUUAUUAUCAA
This is a non-coding RNA of Misgurnus anguillicaudatus (oriental weatherfish), 629 nucleotides long. The record is from RefSeq and is a predicted model, not a curated record. Lineage: Eukaryota; Metazoa; Chordata; Actinopteri; Cypriniformes; Cobitidae.